This is a long non-coding RNA of Ictalurus punctatus (channel catfish), 1673 nucleotides long. Lineage: Eukaryota; Metazoa; Chordata; Actinopteri; Siluriformes; Ictaluridae. The record is from Ensembl.
GAGCCGUUCCCCUCCACGCCUGCGGUCUGACACGCACUGAAUCUUCAGCUAACAAGCUGUUUACACAUUAACGAGCCUGGAUUUACUCACACUCAUACACAUCCCUCGUUCACUUUCACACCGGAGCCAGCCAGUGGUGUCCAGAUGUUUCCUCUGUGGAAGUGAGCGAGCAGGCCUCUCCACGCUGCACCGCGGGGCAAAUAGCUCUGAUUUACUCUCUCCGGAUGUGGCAGGAGCGCCGUGAGGGAGGAAGUGCGAACCGACGAGCCUCUCGCCCGCCGUGCCGCCCGCUGAUAAGACCCAGCGUGGAAAAUUGUAAACAGACCGGACCUGGAAGCGGCACGUUCUCCCGGUUUAACGGAAACCUGCUUGGAAGAACUGCGUCCAGCUCAUGAGCACGUGCAGCGAAAAUUUCAUCGUUUUAACACCAUAAAUACCAUCUCUCUCCUUAAAACACUGGUUUUGACAUGACUGGCGCCCCUCGAUUAAUAUUACAUGAAGCCUACCCUGGAUAUAACACCGGCACCGACCCGCUUCCCGUCACGUCUGACAGCGUCAGAGACACGUGUAGAAGAUCUUUGGACGCGUGACAUCCCGAGAGGCAACUUUUAAGAAAAUAACAGCUCUUCUCCUCCAUGACGUUCUCCUUGACGAUCGGAUCAGCCGCUGACCGGUCGUAGCCAACGAGCCGGGUUUUGACGCAAUCAAAACAAAAACAUAUCUUACCGACAGCUGUGUGGCUCAGUGGUGAGCACAUCUGCCUCACGCCCCCGGGGGGAUGUGGGUUUGAAUCCCGUCUGCGUGCGUGGUGGAGUUUGCAUGUUCUCCUUGUGCUUCGGGGGUUUCCUCCAGAAGCCAUGUUUGUGAAGGCAACAUCUGCGUUCGCUCGCUGAUGAACAGACUAAAGGAUGGACGGAGAUUCUCUCUGAGUUUUACAACAGCAUCUUUUUUUCUGUGGAGAUGAAAGUGUGUAACAGAAAGCUUUGUCUGACAGGAAGAAAAGAAAAAAAAAACCCAAAACAAAACAAGACAAACACCUGAAAGCUGUUUCUUCGUUGGCUCUCGUCCAUACGACACUGCCAAGAAACACUCAAACACAGACCUUAAGAAAGAUGGAGGAUAAUAAACAGAUCCCCGGCAUGAUGGAACCCAGGUGGAGCUUUUUCCUCAGUCCUCAGCCCCGUCCCGGCUCCUGCUGAUGGUUAGCGCUGUCGGAUUCUGGAUUCUGAUUGGUCUGAAGUUACUAUAACAGCAGCACCGACAGUACUACAGCCGUUGUUCUUAUACCUUAUCGUUUCCAUAGCAACAGCUCAUCCUCAGGGACUAGUACAGCAGACGCCCCACGGGAUCGAACCCUGAUGAUAAAAAAUGGAUUUGAUCACGAUGUAUAUUUAGCAUUUUUGGAAGGAGUCUCCAGUGUCAGCGCUUUGUAAAGUUGAGGAGUGAAGCUGAUACUUUAGGUUUUCCGUCUUCAGGACGCUUUGCGGUUUCUAAGUAACCUGACAAGCUGUGUUUUUUUUUUGUUUGUUUUGUUUUUUUUUUGUGUGUGUGUUUUAAACUUCAAGAGAACAUAAAAUGUAACUACAAAUGGAUAAAAAAAAAACACGGCAUGGCAUUUAGUAAUAAAUUACAAGUUGUAAUUGUUGGUAAACUUCAGUGGUAUUAGAAGAAUA